RNAcentral lists this long non-coding RNA (1182 nucleotides) under Salmo salar (Atlantic salmon). RNAcentral's name for it is "lncRNA (ENSSSAG00000082493.1)". Lineage: Eukaryota; Metazoa; Chordata; Actinopteri; Salmoniformes; Salmonidae. The record is from RNAcentral.
CAGUGUGUGGGGGUGUUUGUCCAGUGUGUGUGUGUGUGUGUUUGUCCAGUGUGUGUGUGUGUGUGUGUGUUUGUCCAGUGUGUGUGUGUGUGUGUGUUUGUCCAGUGUGUGUGUGUGUGUGUGUGUCCAGUGUGUGUGUGUGUGUGUGUGUGUGUCCAGUGUGUGUGUGUGUGUCCAGUGUGUGUGUGUGUGUCCAGUGUGUGUGUGUGUGUCCAGUGUGUGUGUGUGUGUGUCCAGUGUGUGUGUGUGUGUGCCCAGUUUGUGUGUCCAGUGUGUGUGUUUGUGUGUGUUUGUGUGUGUGUGUUUUGUGUGUGUCCAGUGUGUGUGUGUUUGUGUGUGUGUGUGUGUUUUUGUGUGUGUGUGUGUGUGUGUGUGUGUGUUUGUCCAGUGUGUGUGUGUGUGUGUGUGUUUGUCCAGUGUGUGUGUGUGUGUGUGUUUGUCCAGUGUGUGUGUGUGUUUGUCCAGUGUGUGUGUGUGUUUGUCCAGUGUGUGUGUGUGUGUGUUUGUCCAGUGUGUGUGUGUGUGUGUGUGUGUUUGUCCAGUGUUUGUGUGUGUGUGUCCAGUGUGUGUGUGUGUGUGUCCAGUGUGUGUGUGUGUGUGUCCAAGUGUGUGUGUGUGUGUGUCCAUGUGUGUGUGUGUGUGUGUCCAGUGUGUGUGAGUCCAGUGUGUGUGAGUCCAGUGUGUGUGUGUGUGUGAGUCCAGUGUGUGUGUGUUUGUCCAGUGUGUGUGUGUGUGUGUUUGUCCAGUGUGUGUGUGUGUGUGUGUGUGUCCAGUGUGUGUGUGUGUGUGUGUGUGUCCAGUGUGUGUGUGUGUGUGUGUCCAGUGUGUGUGUGUGUGUCCAGUGUGUGUGUGUGUGUCCAGUGUGUGUGUGUGUGUCCAGUAUGUGUGUGUGUGUGUCCAGUGUGUGUGUGUCCAGUGUGUGUGUGUGUCCAGUGUGUGUGUGUGAGUCAGUGUGUGUGUGUGUGUGUGUUUGUCUAGUGUGUGUGUCCAGUGUGUGUGUGUCUGUGUGUAUCCAGUGUUUGUGUGUGUGUGUGUCCAGUGUGUGUGUUUGUCCACUUUGUUUGUCCAGUGUGUGUGUGUGUGUGUGUCCAGUGUGUGUGUGUGUGUGUGUGUGUGUAUUUUUGUUUGACAGUGUGUGUGUGUGUGUGUGUGUGUGUGUGUGUGUGUGUGUGUGUGUGUCCA